Molecule: long non-coding RNA, 1168 nt
Filed under: Sorghum bicolor (sorghum)
Lineage: Eukaryota; Viridiplantae; Streptophyta; Magnoliopsida; Poales; Poaceae
Description: long non-coding RNA (SBIC_LNC001290)
Source: RNAcentral
CUCGCAAAAAAAAAAAGAUAUACUACUCAUUUAACAUCUGUAUUAAAUUGAAUAUUGAUACGGAUAUCAAAAUUCGGAUCAUUGGGAUACCUGGACAUCGGGUAGCGCGUGUGGGAGGCGGCCGAUGAACCACAACCAGCAGAGCAGGAAGCUGGCGUGCUGCAUGCGUAUCGCCAUAUGGCGGUUGGCGGGGCACAAGGAGGCAACAUGCAUGCACGGUUCACACACGACAGCGUCUGUCCAUGGGCCAUGGCCGUGUAGCCUGGGACCAGUUCCGUUGGCUAAAGGGGGGUUUUUUUUUUUUUUUUUCUCAAGUUGAUUAGCACUAGAUGCACGAGCACGACCUAUAUCAUGGAUUUGAGUAGUUCCAGCCACGAGCCCACGAUAAUCAACUAGCAUUCUAUAGCAACAACAAUAAAGUACAAAAUUGUUAGUGUCAGCUUGCAGGAACAAUUUAUCAUGCUUUCACGUUGACUACUGUUAUCUCACAGAUUAAAAUGGACAAAUCGGGAGUGAUAUCUGUUCCUUUGAUCUUCGGUCGGAUCAAGCGCAAGUUAAUAUUAUAUAUAAUUACAUAAUUGUCUUGAGUGAACAACGCGCAUCUCUCUAGGAUAACCCAUAUUCAUAUCUAUUUAUACAUCUAAAACUACUACCUCUAAAUUUUUGCCCUUCAAUUCACUCUAUUAUAGAAAUCUUUUCCGAGGCGGUCGUUUUUAUUUUUCUGAGGCAGACAAAGACAACCGCCACAAAUGAAAGGUCACCGUUAAUGGUGGUCUAACCGUGGCAGUUGCUUAUGCCUGCCACGGUUAUCGAUAAAUGGAGGCGGGCGCUUUAGAAUGCCCGCCUCGGUUAAUCAAUAAAAAACAAAAAAACCAUGAGCCCACCAACGAGCCCACCAAAAAAAACUACUUCCACUGUCGUGCGCUGCCCGAUCCAUUGAAAUAGAGGGGCAGCCUAGGGAGGGAGAGGGAGACUGUCACCCGCAGCCCUAGAUCUACGAGCCCGAAUGCCAGAUCCGUGAUCCGUGACACUGGACCCAUGAGCCCCGCCACCAGAUCCCAAAUGAAUUUCUACAGGCGGAGUUUAGUUCCAAAUGAAUUUCUACAUGCGGAGUUUAGUUUCCCACAUAUUAUCCUAAACCGAGCAUAUAUUAAUUAUUUGAGGCCCU